GAUGAAGAACGUAGCAAAAUGCGAUAAGUAAUGUGAAUUGCAGAAUUCAGUGAAUCAUCGAAUCUUUGAACGCACAUUGCGCCCGCCAGUAUUCUGGCGGGCAUGCCUGUUCGAGCGUCAUUUCAACCCUCAAGCACAGCUUGGUGUUGGGACUCGCGUUAAUUCGCGUUCCCCAAAUUGAUUGGCGGUCACGUCGAGCUUCCAUAGCGUAGUAGUAAAACCCUCGUUACUGGUAAUCGUCGCGGCCACGCCGUUAAACCCCAACUUCUGAAUGUUGACCUCGGAUCAGGUAGGAAUACCUGCUGAACUUAAGCAUAUCAAUAAGCGGAGGA
Molecule: unclassified non-coding RNA, 332 nt
Filed under: soil metagenome
Description: partial contains 5.8S ribosomal RNA, internal transcribed spacer 2, and large subunit ribosomal RNA
Rfam family: 5.8S ribosomal RNA (bases 1-120)
Source: RNAcentral